CGCUCGAAAGCCACCUUUCAGCUAUUCGAACUGCAGUAUUUUUUUAGGUGACAAAGUUUCAAACCUUCUUGACAGUUCUUAAUGAAACACGACAAAUUCACAGCCCCGCUAUAGUCAACUGGUACAAGAGUUAUAAAUUCAAUAAUUUAUUUGUUUUUCGACGAAAUUGAUUGUGGCCACAUGCACGAUUAUAGUGUUUUUCAAAACGUAAGUUGUUAACGAGUAUUAUAAAGUGUCGUUAACGAUAAAUUCGAUGGGCUAUUUCGCACGGUAUUUGUGCACAUGCAUACUUGAGUUUGACUAAGAAGAUUGCGUGAGUUCGACGCAUCCAGUGUUCCCUGGGAGGCUCUCGUGCGCGGAGCUUUCACGUAUAAGCCAUCGUUGAUGUUAAUGAGACGAGGAACGAGAAUUGAAGAGAGGAAAUGCGGAAAAGGGAAGGAAGGAGCGGGAGGAAGGCUCUCGUGAGUUCAUCGCGUAUAAUUGUUAAACAAUUAAAUACACCGGUAUAAAGUGAUCUGCAACCACCUGUCAUUUCCGAAUGAGCAUAUGGGAUUUUACUGGUUAUUAAGGAUCAUACAUUUUCCAAUAUGGCUAUGUUUAUCCAGAAUUUUGGAAUGACCAAUUAUUAAAAUUCCAAUCGAGCCCAGUAAAAAAUUGGCAACUGAGAUUUUAUGUUUGAAGUACAUUUCAAGCCACAUUAACCAAUCUAUUUAUAAAAUAAGCUUUCAUAUUUGUAUGUAAGUGCGUAUGAGAAUCAAAUGAAAUGAAUGUUUGCAAAUCAUGCUGAUUUCAAUGCCAAUGGAUCGUCACUUGUGACAAGUAGUGUUGUAUGGAUAUAUUUUUAAAAUAUUCGGUAGGCAUCGCCACAUUAUCGUCUGAAAAAUGAAUUCCAUGCCGAAAAAAUAAUAAAAAUAAUUUUAUUAAGAACAUCA
This is a long non-coding RNA of Venturia canescens, 932 nucleotides long. RefSeq lists it as uncharacterized. The record is from RefSeq and is a predicted model, not a curated record. The transcript is spliced from 2 exons. Lineage: Eukaryota; Metazoa; Arthropoda; Insecta; Hymenoptera; Ichneumonidae.